This 178-nucleotide unclassified non-coding RNA is filed under the name uncultured Sordariomycetes. RNAcentral's name for it is "sequence contains ITS2". The record is from RNAcentral. Lineage: Eukaryota; Fungi; Ascomycota; Sordariomycetes.
CUAAACCCUCACACCCCAAUCGGGUUGUGGUCAUGGGCCUCGCCCCUCCCCUCCAUUGGGUUGGGGGCGUGGCCUGAAAGGCAUCGGUCGCUGGCCCCCCUUUGGGUCUCGGUGUGCGAGUCUGCUUGACGUCUCGCCGGGACCGAUCGGGGGCAGGGGAGACCCUAAACUUAUGAAC